This 91-nucleotide transfer RNA is filed under the name Bacteroidales bacterium. Its description in RNAcentral is "tRNA-Ser". It matches the Rfam family "tRNA". Rfam says of the family: Transfer RNA (tRNA) molecules are approximately 80 nucleotides in length. Their secondary structure includes four short double-helical elements and three loops (D, anti-codon, and T loops). Lineage: Bacteria; Pseudomonadati; Bacteroidota; Bacteroidia; Bacteroidales. The record is from RNAcentral.
GGAAAGAUGCUCGAGUGGCUGAAGAGGCACGUCUGGAAAGCGUGUGGCCGCCUAAAGCGGCUCCAGGGUUCGAAUCCCUGUCUUUCCGCCA